Molecule: small nuclear RNA, 105 nt
Organism: Octopus sinensis (East Asian common octopus)
Lineage: Eukaryota; Metazoa; Mollusca; Cephalopoda; Octopoda; Octopodidae
Source: RefSeq, a predicted model, not a curated record
UAUUGCUUUGGCAAUACAUAUGUUAAAAUUGAAAUGAUAUUGAGAAGACUAGCAUGGCCCCUGCACAUGGACAACACACAAAUUCAUGAAGCAUUCCAUAUUUUC